GAUGAACGCUGGCGGCGUGCCUAAUACAUGCAAGUCGAGCGAACAGACGAGGAGCUUGCUUCUCUGAUAUUAGCGGCGGACGGGUGAGUAACACGUGGAUAACCUACCUAUAAGACUGGGAUAACUUCGGGAAACCGGAGCUAAUACCGGAUAAUAUUUUGAACCGCAUGGUUCAAAAGUGAAAGACGGUCUUGCUGUCACUUAUAGAUGGAUCCGCGCUGCAUUAGCUAGUUGGUAAGGUAACGGCUUACCAAGGCAACGAUGCGUAGCCGACCUGAGAGGGUGGGCGGCCACACUAGAACUGAGACACGGUCCAGACGCCUACGGGAGGCAGAAGUAGGGAAUCUUCCGCAAUGGGCGAAAGCCUGACGGAGCAACGCCGCGUGAGUGAUGAAGGUCUUCGGAUCGUAAAACUCUGUUAUUAGGGAAGAACAAAUGUGUAAGUAACUAUGCACGUCUUGACGGUACCUAAUCAGAAAGCCACGGCUAACUACGUG
Molecule: ribosomal RNA, 497 nt
Filed under: uncultured bacterium
Lineage: Bacteria
Description: partial 16S ribosomal RNA
Rfam family: Bacterial small subunit ribosomal RNA
Source: RNAcentral